This 129-nucleotide ribosomal RNA is filed under the name Triticum aestivum (bread wheat). RNAcentral describes it as "partial small subunit ribosomal RNA". Lineage: Eukaryota; Viridiplantae; Streptophyta; Magnoliopsida; Poales; Poaceae. The record is from RNAcentral.
ACUUUUUUCUUUGCCAAAUUGCAAAAAGUUUAUGCUAUUUUCAAUCCAAUCAUGGAUAUUAUGCUUGUUAUAUCUCUUUUCUUUUUUCUAUUGGCCUUUGUUUGGCAAGCUGUUACAAGUUUUCGAUGA